AAUCUCUCCAAUCCCUCCCCAACCAAAUUCCGAUUUAGUAUACACAUUGAGUCAGUUCUAGAUAACACACAUACUCUUUAAAGUUGUUAUACGAUGAAGACGAAGAUAGUAUGGAUUCGUGAAUUUUUAAGAUUUCGAUGAGGUUUUAUUUUUUCGUCAGUUCGGGCAACACCAGAUAGUCUUGAAAAAUCUCCCUCCGCCCUAAAGCUCAAUGAAGAAGAGUGGAUGCACACGCUCCUUGAAGGAUAAUGGUAAUUGCGUUGACUAGGUAAAAUUGGGCAAAAAAUUGUGCACCCUCUUAUUUCCUUUCUCUGUCUACAAAUCCCUAAUCAUGUUCUCGCACCUGCCCUUCUUCUAACAAAAGAGGAUUAAUAAUCAAUUUUAUGAGCUUUCUUAAACCUCUUCAUCACAAAUUUAUGAGCUUGAGAAUUUAUCGAGACGAGUUUAUUCCAAAUAUUGACUUGUGUUUUUGGGUUAGUGAGAAUUUGGAUGAAUAUACUCCAUCUCUUUAUAAUAUAAGCAUCGAUAGUUGAUAUCUAUGGUUUUAUUUCUAGGAUUUGGCUUUCAAAUUACCAGGGUGCAAAAGCUGCAACUCUUGCCUUUAUGCAUGUAUAUACAAUGGAGAUUUGUACAAUAAUUAUCUAUGCAAAAACUAAUCGUAUGAAGAUUUGUUUAGUAAGGAAAGCAGCAAAUGAGGAAGGUUCGAAUUAGGAU
This 714-nucleotide long non-coding RNA is filed under the name Salvia miltiorrhiza (redroot sage). RNAcentral's name for it is "long non-coding RNA (SMIL_LNC012434)". The record is from RNAcentral. Lineage: Eukaryota; Viridiplantae; Streptophyta; Magnoliopsida; Lamiales; Lamiaceae.